CCAGACGGUUGGACGGCCGCUGUUCUGCCUUUCGGGGCAGGAUGGAGGAAAGUCCGGGCUCCACGGAAAUACGGUGCCGGCUAACGGCCGGCGGGGGCGACCCCAGGGACAGUGCCACAGAAAGCAAACCGCCUGUGCAAGGCGCAAGCCUUCCACGGGCAAGGGUGAAAGGGUGCGGUAAGAGCGCACCGCCGCUCCGGUAACGGCGCGGGCAGGGUAAACCCCACCGGGAGCAAGACCGAAUAGGGGUGGCCGGCGGCGUAUCAUGGCAACAUGAUGCGUGACGCGAGGGCAUUUCCGCCCCGUCGCCCGGGUUGGUCGCGUGAGGCGCUCUGCGAAGGGCGUCCCAGAGGAAUGGCCGUCCAAGGCCGCGCAAGCGGCCCGGACAGAACCCGGCUUACAGACCGUCUGGCAAU
RNAcentral lists this RNase P RNA (416 nucleotides) under Acidisoma silvae. RNAcentral's name for it is "Bacterial RNase P class A". It matches the Rfam family "Bacterial RNase P class A". From Rfam's summary of the family: Ribonuclease P (RNase P) is a ubiquitous endoribonuclease, found in archaea, bacteria and eukarya as well as chloroplasts and mitochondria. Its best characterised activity is the generation of mature 5'-ends of tRNAs by cleaving the 5'-leader elements of precursor-tRNAs. Cellular RNase Ps are ribonucleoproteins. The record is from Rfam by way of RNAcentral. Lineage: Bacteria; Pseudomonadati; Pseudomonadota; Alphaproteobacteria; Acetobacterales; Acidocellaceae.